AACGAACGCUGGCGGCAUGCCUAACACAUGCAAGUCGAACGAGACCUUCGGGUCGAGUGGCGCACGGGUGCGUAACGCGUGGGAACCUGCCCUUAGGUUCGGACUAACUCCCCGAAAGGGGUGCUAAUACCGGAUAAUGUCUUCGGACCAAUGAUGUAUCGCCUUGGGAUGGGCCCGCGUUGGAUUAGCUAGUUGGUAGGGUAAAAGCCUACCAAGGCGACGAUCCAUAGCUGGUCUGAGAGGAUGAUCAGCAACACUGGGACAGGGAGACGGACCAAACUCCUACGGGAGGCAGCAGGGGGGAAGAUGGGACAAUGGGCGAAAGCCUGAGCCAGCAAGGCCGCGUAAGUGUUGAAGGAGUGAAGGUUGUAAAGCUCAUUUACCCGGGAUGAUAAGAACGUAACCAAGAAGAUAGGCACCGCUAAAUACGUU
This 432-nucleotide ribosomal RNA is filed under the name uncultured bacterium. RNAcentral describes it as "partial 16S ribosomal RNA". It matches the Rfam family "Bacterial small subunit ribosomal RNA", at positions 29 to 507 of the family's 1533-position model. The record is from RNAcentral.